RNAcentral lists this small RNA (2785 nucleotides) under Rattus norvegicus (Norway rat). RNAcentral's name for it is "uncharacterized LOC102553576". The record is from RNAcentral. Lineage: Eukaryota; Metazoa; Chordata; Mammalia; Rodentia; Muridae.
UCCCGGGCUGGGCCGACCCGAAUUAGCAUGCUCGCCCAGGAGCCUAGCGGAGCAGGGCCGCGUGGGGGUGGGGCUGGCGGCGGGGGCUGGGGACCCAGGCUGCGGGCGAGCGGCGAACUUCCCAACUCCCGCGCUGCGUUCUGGCCCGCGAGGGGGAGGGAGUCCCGUGGCGGGACGGGGUGGGGGAGGGCUCCCCGUUUCGUGAGUGUUCCUUCAUUUCUUUAAGAGCUACCAGAAAGCAGCCCACCCCCACUCUCAUAAAAAAAAAAAAGCGAGUGGGGAAGAGCCAGCCCCACGCCGGUCCGCCUCCCGCCCGCUGCCGGGCCUCCCUCCCGCCUGCCCGCCGCCUGGCUCGGAGAUCCUUCGCCCAGAGUUCUCCAUUCUCAGGAUCCCGGGCUCGCGGGGGUGCGGAGAAGAGGACCCAGGAAAGCCGAUUCACUGCAAGUGGCCUCGAUUUGAUGUGCCUAACUUUGGGAAUCAUCGUGUAGACUUUGACUCUGAUCUCAGCCCUGACGCUGGAUGGCUGUGUGAUUCUAGGUGAGCUGGUGUGUCUCUGAGCCUCGUCGAUUUCGGUCAAAGAGAAGUCUUGAUUAACAUGGGCAGAAAGGAUGCCAACGGUGACUUUCAUCACUCCUGUUUGAUUCCUGUCUUCUUCACCCUUCAGAGCCAGCAAGAGUUUGCUGGCUUGGAUGUUCCUGGGUGGCGGAGUCCAUAGUCUGAGGGCAAGGAGGUCUUGGAAGCAGUUUUCCUGGGUAGAACCUAGUUUUCAGCUGAGACUCCCACCCUCAACACACAUCAAGCUGAAGAUGAGCCCUCUGCCUUUUUUCUAAUACGGAGUUGGAUGUCCCCAGACCAGUAAGAACUUACAUUUGGAAUUCUUUAGACGUUUAUAAAGUCCUGCUGGCUCUGAGAGUUAUAUAUUAAUCUGAUAUAAUAUUCCGUGGGAACUGGCCAGAGACACAUGGUAGGAGCACUUCUGCUGUUGUACUUUUGUACAUUGGUUUUGUUUGGACUGGUAAAUUUUCUCCCAUCUUUAUAGGCCUGCCUUCCUCUCUUCCUCGUUUCAAUGUGUGUAGCACAAUAUGUCCGUGAGAGCCAUGUUGUUUAUUAUCUGUAGUUUUGCUUUUUCAUUCUUGUCAAGAUUUUGUAUCCCUGCCUAAAGCUUAGUGGGAUUUCUCUGCAGGUUUGGCCUGCCUGUGCUGCUUUCUUCCUGGCUAACCUGUGGUGGUUCAUGCUCCUCUCUGGCCUCCUUCAACGGCCCUACUAUGGUCAAGGUGACUUUGAUUCAAAGUUUUAAGCUUGCCCCAAGUUCCAAGAACAUUCUCCUCUUAAUGCCCCCAUGUUUCUCCCUGUCUGUUAACAUGGACCAAGUACCUGCUUUCUGGGCUGAUUUAUGGCUGUAUUAGGGAAAACUCUACCAGGGAUAUAAAACGCAGUGUCCCCACGCUUGGGCCUGAUCUUACACGUUAUCAGUGAUUGCAAGUGCAUUUUAUAACCCUGUGCCAAAUCGAAAUCAAGGUGAUUUGUGCUUCAAUCUCCCGGAUAAAAUCAGGGCAUGCUCUAUUGCAGUCUGACCUUCUUAGUACCUUUGCUGGUGCAACUUGACCAUGUGCCUUGGACAAUUAUUGGCGACAGCUGAGGAGUGACCCGAGCUGCUUAGCUGCUCAUCCUGGAGACUCCUCAGAGGUGACGGCUCCUGUGGGCUUUGUAGCAUCUCCAAGGAUCUUUCAAAGCAUCUUUGACCUCCCCAGCUUGUCUAAGAAGUGAACUCUUAGAGCAAGCUGACCGGAGCCCCAGAGAGGCUCUCUCUGCCUCGUACUUAACCCGAGAGCUCAGCUAACUGCAGGCCAGGGAAGCCGCUCAGCUUUUGAAUGAUCAGGGACAGGGAAUCACCGUGCUCUCACUACUGCUGUCAACUAUCAGUGCUACUUGCAGUUGUUACAGAACAAGGUCAGGACUUCCAGAAAAACCGGAGUCCCCUGUAAAGUUCCAGUCUGAACUGCACUUUUCCACAAUGCAGUACAAGUCUGUCAGGGUUAAAGCUUGAUGUCAAAUCUCCUUCAUGUGGCUGGUUGGAGGGGGUACUUUGGAUAAAUAUUUUAAGUUAAGGUUUUAUGACUAUAAUCUGAAUUUUUCAACUUAUAUUUAACCCAAGCUUCUUUUUAAAGCAAUUUCAUCUCUUUUGAUUUUAUACCCUUUCAUAGCCUAGGGAGGAGCUCAGAUGUCUCUUCAAGUGCCACAGCCUGCUUUGUGAAACCCUUUUAAGAUAUGCUAAUGGAUGGGGUGAUUAUUAAGAUAAAUGCCUUGUGUAGGAAACCGGACUUAAUUAUAAUAUCUAUAAUUAGUCACCGGUCAGCCUGGAAGUUAUAAUUUAUUGUUCCCUAAUUUGCCUUUAUUACCAAAGAUAUUUAACUUAAAGGGAUUAUUUUUAGGAAUAGCCUGAUUUGAAUGGUAAGCAUUUAGCAAAUGUCAAAACUAUUUUUUUUCAAACUUUUCUAAACUCAUAUAUAAUUUUAGGAUAUAGCACACAAGCAUGGAGAGGGGUGUUUGUACUUGUUGAUUAAGAGAAUGGAAACGCUACUUCAUAAGAAGAAAUGAUAAAGGUUGUUCCUUCCAGACCCUUAUUUUUAGAACACCAGGUAAACUUUUAUAUUAGGCAGGUUUGAGUUGGGGUGAUGGGAAUAUGCUGUUUGCAUGGCCGGUGAGGUGUCUCUCAUUUUUAAAAAAUUUAUAAUCUUUUUCUCUCAUCUAUCUGUCUGCCUAUCUAUCUAUCUAUAUCUACCUA